This 305-nucleotide ribosomal RNA is filed under the name uncultured bacterium. RNAcentral describes it as "bacterial SSU rRNA". It matches the Rfam family "Bacterial small subunit ribosomal RNA", at positions 334 to 632 of the family's 1533-position model. The record is from RNAcentral.
UCUUCCUGAGGGGGGCAGCAGUAGGGAAUUUUCGUCAAUGGGCGCAAGCCUGAACGAGCAAUGCCGCGUGAACGAGGAAGGUCGUCGGAUCGUAAAGUUCUGUUGAAGGGGAAAAAGAGCGGAGAGAGGAAAUGAACUCCGAUUGAUAUUACCCUUCGAGGAAGUCACGGCUAACUACGUGCCGGCAGCCGCGGUAAUACGUAGGUGGCGAGCGUUAUCCGGAAUGAUUGGGCGUAAAGGGUGCGUAGGCGGCCUGCUAAGUCUGGAGUGAAAGGUACCGGCUCAACCGGUACAGGCUCUGGAAA